UCCUAUUCUUAGCCUCGGUUCCUCAACUCUUGCACCAGCUAUCUCUCCCUUCCUUGCGUUUGUUGGUUUGUUCGUUUAUGUUUAGCAGCUGAUGGAGUUAAUCAGCUUCCUCUCCUCACCUCCAGUUCCACUCCCUCGGUUGGUUUUAGAAAGAAAGAAAGAAAGAAAGAAAGGAAGGAAGAAAGCUGCCUUGUUUUUUCUUCCUCUCGGUCACCGCCCAAGCUAGCAGAUUAGUUUCUAUUUGUUUCCUCUCAGUCACCGUCUGGACUUAGCAGAUGAUUUCUCUUUGUUUUCUCUCUUUCGGUCACUGCCUACUCAGCAAAUUGGUAGUAUAUUCCUUCCUGGCAGCUGUCUUAAUAGGAGUUACUCACCGCCCAAACUAUCAGCCAAUUUCUACUCAUUUUCCCUUCCACCGCUUAAACUUAGCAGAUGGUUAUCUAGCUUCCGUUCGGUUCCUGUUUUGUCAAAAUUCUAGUAGUUUGUUCCUUAGUUGCAUCGUAGUUUAACCGAAUCUCCAAGAUUGGUCCGGUCCUUUAGUUUUGGUUCAUUUGUUUGCUACGAGUCCAUAAUUUUAUUGUCUCAUACAUUGAUUCCAAAUUUCGUUUAUUCUAAUUUGUAUGUACCUUGGAAAAUUUUUCCUACAUUGGUCUAGUAGAAUUUCACACAUUUGGCUUUAAGGAAAAUUAAUUAGUCAUGUAACUUAUUCAACUAUAUAAUAAAUUCUAAUGACACAAAUUGGCAAUAAGUCUAUCAUAUAUUUGUUUGGUUCCUAAAAUUUUUCUACACCAUUCUAUUAUUUGUUUAUUAUGAUAUAUAUAUAUUUUAUCCUUACCAUUAUUAUUAUUAUUAUUAUUUUCUAAAUUUCAAUUUAAUAGGAAUUCAAUUAUGCAUUUAAUUUAACCAUUUAUUUGUUUUAUAUAAUAUUUCUAAUGAUAAGUUAAAUAUAAUGAAAUAAAUUCGAAGUAUGCACAUAAAUUUCCGAGUUCUCACAUCCUUCUCCCCUUAAGAAAAUUUCUUCCUCGAAAUUUCGUACCUUUAAUCGUAAAAAGUUCCAGGUAUUCUUUCCACAUUUUGUUCUCCAGUUCUCAUGUCAUUUCUUCCAUUCCAUGAUGCUCCCAUAGGACUUUGAUUAAAGGAAUUUAUUUAUUCUUCAAUCCCUGUUUUUGAAAUAACAUGCCCCAGAAACAAUAUUUUCUCCAUUCGAAAUUCACACUUACAAUUGACGCUUCCUUAAAGUCGAUAACACUAUCUUUAGAUUCUAUUCAUGAUCUUCCUUCUUAAUUCUCCAUUGAUAGUAUCGUUGUCAAAAAUCUAUCUUAGAAAACACCAUUGGCCCUUGCAACAAUUAUAACAUCGUUAUAAGCUCAACUUUCAAUCUCUCCUCUUUUUUUUUUUCUCCAAUCUUAAUCUCAUAGUUUCUAUACACCACUUUGGUUACCAAAUUUCACUCAGGUUAGUAAUUAUUAAUCCCAAGGACUAAUAAAUAUUACAGCAUUAUAACAAAAUAAACAUAUGAUCAUCAAAUUACAUACACACAAUCUAAGUUACAUUACACACCAACUUCAUACAACUUUAAAAGCCAAACAAUUCACGGAUACAUUCAACAUUUUCAUACAUAACUCAAACUUCAAUCCUUAUAAACAUGAAAGAAAACAAUUCAAUAAUACAUAAAUUAUUAUAACCACACAGCUAAUAGCUCAACCCUUAGUUUAGACUCAACUUAAACUUCAUUAAUCUAAUUUUGGACAGUCCCACUAGACCCAAUUUCUUCUUCUGGUUCUACUUCCAUAGGUUCCUCUUCCUCGGGAUCUUUCUCUGCCGGUUCGGCUUCACCUUCGACUCUAGGAGCCUCUACACCCUAACUUUCCCUAUUUAGAUUCUCCCCCACAAGCUCUUCCAUCAACACUUCACAUUCAGCUAGAAUCCCUUUAGUUCGGUCUCUUACCUAUCUUAGUACCCUAGUGAGACGGUCUUUAGUCUCCUGCAACUGAUCAUACAAGACAUUAGUUCACUCUUGCUCCUCUAUCAUAUCAGUUUCCUACUUUAGGAUCCUAUCACGUCACAUCCUUAUGAAUUUCCUCAUUUCUUACAUUCUAAUAUGAGCUCUCUCAUUUGCUAUUACUAAUCUCUGUCUUUUACCCAUUUGAACUAGUAUCACUCGAUCCAGAUAGAAGUAAGUUCUUGAACAGUCACAGUGACUAGUCAUUCAAUGCCCUAGAACACACUGCCGAAAGGAUACACCUGGUCCUUACUUAAAAACUAUUUCACUCAAAUUUCAGGUCAGAAAACCAUAUUUUUAGGCAAGAGUUGGCAUAUGAUCUAUUUACUAUCGCAGGCUAAUAAAAUUAUUCACCUUAAGAUGGAGGAUUUGCACUAAUAUUCAAGAUCUCACCACAACCUCUUCACCCUUAGCUCUCAAAAGCUAGCCUUGGUCUCGUUAAUUCUAUUUCUUCAAUUUAAAUCGUGAUUUCUGAUCACGUCAUAAUGCAAUAUACUAAAUUCUUCCUAAUUUGUAAAUACACCAUUGAAUGAAAUAUCUGGUACUUGGGUACAAGAAUCUGAAAAUAGGAUAAUUCAUAGCCUAGGUUGGCCAGUCCCAAGAGUAAAUUACCCAUAUUUGAGAUUCCUACCUGAUGUACUUAUCUAAUCCCCUUAGCAAUAGUAAUUAAUUCAACACUUAAAAGGUCAAUCCCCACAGUUCGAGAACCCUCUCCCGGCUUGACCUCAUUAAGAGCUUUGAUACCACCUGUGACGACCCGCCCUCCUCCUAGGACGUACCCUAGAAGUUAGCGGACCGCCUGCCUGGCUCUCGUCAGGACUCAUUUAUUUACAUUAACUUCAAAGAUAACAUUUCUCAUUAAUCAUCCAAACAUCCAUUCUUAAUACUUCUUAGUAAGACAAAAGCUUUGUCCACUACAAAUUACAAAAGUAAAUCAUCCAAACGUUCAUUCUUAAGUAUAUCACCCAAGUACAUCACCAACUAGUGUAAAAUAUAAAUCUACCCAUUAAGAGAUGCAAAAUGCAGGUCUUAUCAUCAAUAUAACACUCUAACUCUAUUUGAUCGUCCUUCAAACUUCAACUCCUGUAAGGAAAACAAAGCUAAAAGGUUGAACUAAUGCUCAGUGAGGUUUCCAUGCAAGCAACAAUCAAUAAACAUUUAAACCAGAUAAGCCAGUAACAAAAUUAAGCAAUUAAAGAACACUUCACUGAAUCAAGUAGAGAACACUUCACUGAACAUUCACUUUUAAAAAGGAUACAGUGCUCGCAUUAGAAACUUCAAUGCACUACACACUCCACCGAACUCCUCCUUAUAACCUCCAAAACAAUAAACACUUCCCUCACUUAGAUGGCCAUAUCAACAUCAGUAAUCUGCUACUCCUUGGUAAUACUCGAGCAUACCAAUACACUUACCCAAAGCUACCGUCCUAUCCGACAAGCCCUUUUGCUGGCUCGAGUAGUCCGUUGAACAAAGGGUUUUGGGGCUCAGUUCAGCCGGUGUGGUAAAGUACACACAUGGCUUACAGUCAUGCACAUUUACAAUAACACUUGAUCAAUUAUCAACCUUCAAGUUCAAACUAAGUCGAGUGCGAUAAUGUACACUCCCGACUUAGAAGGCAAGGGACAAUUGAGAUAUACUUUACAAUGAAUCACUAGCAAUAUUCCAUAAUAAGCACAUUUAUCACAUAAUUUCACUUAAGUAAACAUAAACAGUUAAACACACAAAUCCGGAAACACUCACCAAGUUUCCAAAUAAAUUACUCUUGAGCCUCGAGUUUGUUUCCUGAGUCACAGCUAUUCCCUGAGAUAAGUGUAUAAGUCCAAAGUAAAUAUACAAUUUGUAGAUAUUCAUUUAUUAUUUAUUACCCUAUUAUCGGAACUAUUAAAAUCAAGUUUGACUUUAAAAUACAAAAUAUAAUAUAUUCAAUAUUUAUUCUACAUUUUAUUUCGAACUUUAUUGACUUUAUCAUUUUAACAAAGAAAUAUACACAUUUUCUAAGGUUAUGAUUUAUAAAUAUUUAAAUUAGGAUUAAAUCAUUUCUCACUCUAUAUCUUAAAGUUAAAAUAAAUAAACUUUUCAUCCUUCUCUUCUUCUUUUUUUCCAAAUCAAAUUCUAAGUUGUCUAUGAUUUAAGUUUUGUAUAAACUUAUUAGUUUUCUUGUUUAAGUUUCUUAAAUGUUCAUAAGCGGAGUUUCACAACGAAUUAGCUUAAAAUUUCAAGAUUCCAUAAAAGUUUCAUUUCUCCCUUCAUCCGGUCAGCAUAAACAAUAUUUUAGCUCAAAUGUUCCUUAACCUACAACAACUCCACUUUUUAAUUGCUUAAACUUUAGUCACCUAGUAUACAUUUCAUUCAAGGUGAAUAACUCAUAAUUUCAGCAUGUCGGUCGCCCACAUCAUAUACAAAAUUUGUCAUCUUCAAUCGCAACCAUUAACUAGGCUUUCUAGCAAUGUAUCGGUCCAAUAUUCGGUACAUUUCCCUCAAAUCUUUCCUUUCACUCUCAUGUCCCAACUAGACAAGUUAAUUACAUUUAUUAAGCUACAAAGUAGCAUUGUACAGAACGUGGAAAGUUUUGCAGCUUACUUAGAGGAAAAAACUGAUCAACUCUUCCUUCUUUCUCUCGCCAUAAGGUAAUUCAGCAGCACAUUUCAUAGUUUUCCUCUCAUUUGCCUUAGUUUAACUCUACUCACGAAACUAGUCAUAGUCACUAAAUCACAGAGCAACCUUAGUUCUACCUGUGGAAGUUCACAGAGCCAGAAAUUAAAAGAAUGGCUGCUCUACAAGCUGAUUUCCUUCCCUUUUUUUUCUAUCCUAACAGAUUGUACCAACUUCCUUUUGUCAAAUUUUAGUUAAGCUUCCUGAAGUUUUCUGAUUUCCAAGGCACCUAUCUGUUAAGGUAAAGAAUUAACAUAUCUCAUGCGGUUGUUAGUAAGUGUUUCCAAUAUAUUAACAACAAGUUGCAUAUUCUGUUUCAUUUCCUCGGCCAACCUAUCUGUAGUAAAUUGAACUCAUUCUUCCUUCAAUGUUCACUUCAGUUUAUACUUGUUUCUGUCAUGCUCGAAGAAGUCAAGAUGCUUUACAAUACAUUACAGCUUAAUACGAAAUUUAAAACCAAACUUUGCAGAAGACCGCUAGAGUUUCUUCACUUCUUUUCUCUCGGAUGAGGCUAUAAGGAUUUCAGCAGGUUUCUUUCUUUCUUUUCCACUCAAAGUUUCAACUUUCACAAGUUUCUAUAGCUAAAAUUCACUUAAUGGCUUCCAUUUUUCCAUUGAUAACAAGCUGCAAUUCAUUUAGCCAUCUCUCAGUUCCCACAGAUUCAGUCCAGCUUCAAUUUUAUUCCUUCAUCAGAUUUUUCCUCAGUUAAAACUUAUUUUUCCUUGCUAAAAACUAACAUGCAGCCCAUAUAUUCAGUGAUACUCUGUAAAUAAAAGAAGGUUACAAAGAGUUUUACCUUUCUCCUUUAAGUUUUAACGGUUGCAGGUUGCUCCUAUUCUUAGCCUCGGUUCCUCAACUCUUGCACCAGCUAUCUCUCCCUUCCUUGCGUUUGUUGGUUUGUUCGUUUAUGUUUAGCAGCUGAUGGAGUUAAUCAGCUUCCUCUCCUCACCUCCAGUUCCACUCCCUCGGUUGGUUUUAGAAAGAAAGAAAGAAAGAAAGAAAGGAAGGAAGAAAGCUGCCUUGUUUUUUCUUCCUCUCGGUCACCGCCCAAGCUAGCAGAUUAGUUUCUAUUUGUUUCCUCUCAGUCACCGUCUGGACUUAGCAGAUGAUUUCUCUUUGUUUUCUCUCUUUCGGUCACUGCCUACUCAGCAAAUUGGUAGUAUAUUCCUUCCUGGCAGCUGUCUUAAUAGGAGUUACUCACCGCCCAAACUAUCAGCCAAUUUCUACUCAUUUUCCCUUCCACCGCUUAAACUUAGCAGAUGGUUAUCU
Molecule: long non-coding RNA, 5920 nt
Filed under: Coffea arabica (coffee)
Lineage: Eukaryota; Viridiplantae; Streptophyta; Magnoliopsida; Gentianales; Rubiaceae
Description: long non-coding RNA (CARA_LNC001877)
Source: RNAcentral